RNAcentral lists this non-coding RNA (241 nucleotides) under Listeria monocytogenes. Its description in RNAcentral is "T-box". It matches the Rfam family "T-box leader". Rfam says of the family: Uncharged tRNA acts as the effector for transcription antitermination of genes in the T-box leader family. T-boxes are found upstream of many aminoacyl-tRNA synthetase genes and some amino acid biosynthetic genes usually in Gram-positive bacteria. Lineage: Bacteria; Bacillati; Bacillota; Bacilli; Caryophanales; Listeriaceae. The record is from RNAcentral.
AUGAUAGCAUUGAAGAAGAGUAAGUAGCAUGAUGAAAGUUUUUAGAGAGCUGACGGUUGGUGAAAGUCAGUAGCGGACAUGAUGUGAAUGGACUUCUGAGCUCUGAUCUGAAAGGAUUUUUUAUUAGGAUACAGCGAUUAGGCCUUAUCGUUACACAAGGCGCCCAUUCGAAAUUUGGAUGGAUUAAGUGAACUGUUUUUACAGUUAAUCAAGGUGGUACCACGGGUCUCUCGUCCUUGUC